This 236-nucleotide long non-coding RNA is filed under the name Dromaius novaehollandiae (emu). RNAcentral's name for it is "lncRNA (ENSDNVG00000005479.1)". The record is from RNAcentral. Lineage: Eukaryota; Metazoa; Chordata; Aves; Casuariiformes; Dromaiidae.
UGGCUGCCUUUCUAAAGUGGUAUCAUUUGCACUGCUGCUGUAAUCUUCUGCAGUGAGAGGGCCAAUACUGGAGAUGCUGAACUGCUGAACCCCUAUAGCCACCUCAAGAGGAUCUCUUCAGACUGAACUAACUCAUUAAACAUCUUUGCCUGAUUCUCCAUCCCUGACAGGUCUGGACCUAAUUGAGCAUAAUGAUUACACAUGACAACUAGCAGGAUAUCAGUCAGCUAUUUCAG